UUUCCCAUUUUGUAUAAUGGUUUCCCCCCAUUCCCACUUCUCAUUUGUGUUUUCUUGUGCACAUGCUUGCAACUGUGUGUUUGUGAAUGUGUGUCGCUUAUCAGUUAAAUUCUCUUAAAGGUGAGUCAAAUAAUUUUUACUUCAAAAUAGUGGUUUAGUGCAAGGCUGAAAGCUAUGUUCAUAUAUUUUUAUGAAAUUAAGCUUCAUUAACUGUUUUAGGUGCCAAGUAGUGGAUCUUGUAAAAUAAUGAUUUAGAAGAUGAAAUGUUACAGGUCUUACCCUUUCCGUAAUGUAUUCCUAAUAUGAUGUGACCAUUUUGGAGCAGAGAUGUGUUAUAGGCUCUCUUUUAAAAAAUUUG
RNAcentral lists this unclassified non-coding RNA (358 nucleotides) under Hevea brasiliensis (rubber tree). The record is from RNAcentral. Lineage: Eukaryota; Viridiplantae; Streptophyta; Magnoliopsida; Malpighiales; Euphorbiaceae.